GUGGGUGUGCCGGAGUGGUCAAACGGGCGGGUCUCAAGAACCCGUAGCUUAGUGCUUUCCUAGGUUCGAAUCCUAGCACCCACA
This 84-nucleotide transfer RNA is filed under the name Candidatus Pacearchaeota archaeon. RNAcentral describes it as "tRNA-Leu". It matches the Rfam family "tRNA". From Rfam's summary of the family: Transfer RNA (tRNA) molecules are approximately 80 nucleotides in length. Their secondary structure includes four short double-helical elements and three loops (D, anti-codon, and T loops). Lineage: Archaea; Nanobdellati. The record is from RNAcentral.